RNAcentral lists this long non-coding RNA (3597 nucleotides) under Capsicum annuum. RNAcentral describes it as "long non-coding RNA (CANN_LNC014714)". The record is from RNAcentral. Lineage: Eukaryota; Viridiplantae; Streptophyta; Magnoliopsida; Solanales; Solanaceae.
AAUAUAUACACGUAACAAAUCAAAAAUAGAGGGACCACAUGAGAUUCCUUCGGCUUUGUUUUUGUCAAAUUAAAAUAAGGGGGGCCAUGGAUUUGUAUUCACUUAUUCACAUAUAUACUCCUAAUCAUCAUCUUAUCUUCUCCACAUAGAGAAACUUGUGGUCACUCUCAAAUUGACGACACACAUACUCCAUAGAUAAAAUACACAUGUACAGACGCGAUUUUAAGGGAGGCUGGGGAAUUCUUUUCAUUUUCUGACUCUAAAUACACACUGUUCAAACUGAAUAUACACACCGAAAAGAAUCGGGGAGUGUGAGAAAAUAAGAGAAAUUAGCAAGAUAGAGAUCAUGAUAUCAGAGAGAGAGGGAUAAGGUGAUGGUGAGCUGAAAUCGAUCAGAAUAGGGGGGCUGGUGAGAGGAGUUCAUCCCUGAAAAUGGUCUUAUUUCAGAGCGGUUUUUCAUGAUAGUUUUGUAUAAGGGUCUAUUUUGUGCUGCUGCUAUCUUUAUUCCAGCGUCAUUGGUAUCCGUUAUUGGUUUGGGGAUUUGGGAUUCUGAUCUUCUUAACCCAUUUAUUGUAUUCAGUUUCGAGUCUUGAGCUUUUCGAUAUCGAGUUUGGAGUUUGUCGUUGUUGAGGUCCUAUUCGAGAUCCCAAAUUCGUAUUUUCUUAAAUCUUAUUACCAACGAAAUCAAUUGUCAAAACUGUUUUGAUAAAGGAUAUCAUAGAGUGACUUAGCACGCCUGAUUUAUGCCAAGUGGCGACGCUGAGUUUUGAACAUAAAAGAUCCUUUUGAAACAAAUUUUCAUUUUUUGUCACUUUGAUAAUAAAAAUCCUUUCAAACUUUAAAACCAUAUUCUUUUUGGUUAAAAAAGGGUGUGACAAAAAGUAGUUUGUGCUUUACCUUGUAGACUCUGUUAGGACAUGAUUAUAGUAUAUUGAUUUUGAGGAGUUUGGGAAUAUCGGUAUUUCUAAAGUCAAUUGGGUUGAUUGGUAUUCAUGCACUUGUGUAUUGUGAAAGGUACUUUAUGAAGUAGAAAUAUUGGAAGAAUUACUUUUUCAUGUGAAUCUAGGUUUGAAAUUAGUUGAUAGACAUUAUAGGCAUUGUUUUACUUCUUUGAAUAUGGCUAGAAGAGCCUUGAUUGAACAGUCAAUUGAUGACUUCAGAUACUAAUAUAUCAUCUUAGAAAUGGACCAAUUUAUGCGGUUAAAUGAUGAACCUUGAAAAAUGUAUAUGUAUUCAUACAUAUUCGUAUCAUUUUUGUUGAUACAUGAUAUAAAUUGUCCUGUGGUGCCCAUUGACUUGAUUUUUAUGAACAUCAUUAUGCAUUUUGAAAAGCUUAUGUCUACUCUUCUAAAGUCAUGUUUUAUGGUGAUUGAAAUGAUUCUAACAAGUUUAUAUCAUACAAAGACGAUAAAAUGAUUCCUGAGGCAAUGAUAAAGUGUUUCAGGUAGGUAUAUGGACCUCGCGUGGAUCACUGCUCUUGAAAAACCUCAAUGGUGGAAGAGUGUGUGUAGACCAGGUUAUUAUUGGCCAUUGCAGGGCAUAACAUCUUACUUAAAUGAUUUCAUAUGAUUUUUCUAAUUGAGCAUGCAAGAAUGCAUGAUUUCUUUUUGGCUGUUUUCCUUUAAUUAGGUAUUUAUUUUCUUAGGAUAUCAUCAACGGUAAAUUUCAUUCUUAAUGAUUUAUAAUUUUCGUACUCGGCGUUAUAGACUAUGAUGUCUACCAAGUAUAAAUAUUUCUAUAUUCAUACUACUAAUGCUGCACUCUUUUGUACAAAUUAUAUUUUGUGUACCAGCAGUCCUUGUUGAGCUCUAGAAUCUGAGGCGUGUUAUCUGAAUAUCUCCCAGUGAGUUAUCUGGUUGAUUUACAAUGAUAGACUCCAUCUAUCCAUUAUCUUCGUCUUUUAAUUAUUUCAUACAUUAACCCAUGAUUAAACAAUAUCAUUUUGUUAGAAUACGUACCCUACUAAUUUUACUUAUUUUAGCCAAGCAGUUUUCUAUCAGUGAAACAGGUUGACUAACGUGUUUCAAUACAGCUAAAACACUAAGUAAAUGAGACAGUAAUUUUUCACAUGGGAACAACCCGGAUGAAAGAUGUAUAAAAAAUCAUGACCUGAACCUCUACUGGAUUUAACCCCAACUUCACUAAAAUCCUUGUGCCUCAACUAUCAACAAAUAACAAGACUCUUGUAAACUAGGAAUUAUAAACUCUAAUUCCUACUUCUACGAAACACAAAAGCCUUUGCAAGGUGAGUGUUCCUAAGUCUUUGAGUUCCCCAAUUUGAAUACAAUAAUCCUAACUAAGUUUAUACUAGACUGAGACUGAGUCUUGUUCCUCGCUUUUGACCUUUUUUCCUUUUUCAGAAAGAGUUAGUUUUAAGAUUUCAGAUUUUAGAAUUACAUUUGAAGAAUCAAGUUGGCCAACCUGUUUCUUUAGAGUGCAGUUUUCCUUUUCAAGAAUGUUCUCGUAAGCCUAUAGAUCAAUAAACUAAAACUUAAGACUUGUAAGAGUGUUGAAUAACUCACCCCUAUUAGAAUUUAAUUCUUGAAAAUCACCAAUUAGUGUACUCAUUAAGGAAACAAGUUUUAUUUUUAAAAAUCAAUGCAACUUUUCUUUAAGUUCAGCAAUAGUUACCUUUGAAGUACCAUCUUCUUCUUCCAUGUCUGAUUCUACAAUGGUCAUGUGAGCAGUUACAUCAACCCCCUUUCAUUAUCUGAUUUGUCCAAAUUAGAUCUUCAAGUGGCUACCAUAGAAUAUUCUUCCUUCUUUUUUGUUAGCCUUUUCUUUCAAUUCCUUCUCAUCUCUUUCUCUUCUUCAUUCAACUUAACAUAUAGGGCAAUCCCUGAUUUGGUGAUCAUUCUUACCACCCUUAUAGUAUUCAGUUGUAUUGUCAUUGGAAACUUUUUUGCUACUUGUUCCUUUCUUCUUCUUGAAUAAUUUUUUGAAAUUCUUUUUUAUGAAGGAAAUUUUUUUUCAUCCAGUUCAAUUUCUUCAAUACUAUCAGAAGAGAUUCAUUCUCCUUCAAUUUCUUCAAAGGACCUGCUAUUUUCUUCUGAACUUCAUCAAUUCGCAUUUCAUAAGUUUUAAAAUUUUCCACUAGAUCAUCCAAAGUCAUCCUAGUGAGAUCCUUUGCUUCGCUAAUUGUAGUAACCUUAACAUUCCAUUUAAACUUAGGCAAGACCUUCAACACCUUUUCAACUUGUUUCUCCGUAGUGAUGAGUUUCCCUAAGGAUGUUAUUUCAUAUGUUAAUGUAGUAAGCCUUUUUCAUCAUCUCAUGAAGAGAUUUAUUCUCCUUCAUUUUAAAAUCCUCAUAUUUAGUAAAGAUUAGAGCAAUUCUGAAUUUUCUCACUUGAGUGGUGCCCUCAUGCGGAUUAACCAAAGCAUCCCAUAUUUGCUUUGCAGUGGUGCAAUUGUACACUCUAUUGUACUUCGUUGGAUCUAGUCCUUGUACCAAAUUAUUUUUAGACUUUCUAUUUGUUUUGAUGCAACCAAAGCUCAGCUAUAAAUUCACUUCUUACCUUCUUUACCUUUUAUACAUCAACUAGCUUCAUUUGGACGGUUAGACCAUUAGUGAUCCUGUCCCACAACUCGUAGUCUUC